CAGUAGCCGCGGGAAUACGUAGGUGGCAAGCGUUAUCCGGAAUUAUUGGGCGUAAAGCGCGCGUAGGCGGUUUUUUAAGUCUGAUGUGAAAGCCCACGGCUCAACCGUGGAGGGUCAUUGGAAACUGGAAAACUUGAGUGCAGAAGAGGAAAGUGGAAUUCCAUGUGUAGCGGUGAAAUGCGCAGAGAUAUGGAGGAACACCAGUGGCGAAGGCGACUUUCUGGUCUGUAACUGACGCUGAUGUGCGAAAGCGUGGGGAUCAAACAGGAUUAGAUACCCGCGUAGUCCCUGUCUCUUAUAU
RNAcentral lists this ribosomal RNA (301 nucleotides) under uncultured bacterium. Its description in RNAcentral is "partial 16S ribosomal RNA". It matches the Rfam family "Bacterial small subunit ribosomal RNA", at positions 509 to 809 of the family's 1533-position model. The record is from RNAcentral.